Molecule: ribosomal RNA, 230 nt
Filed under: uncultured bacterium
Lineage: Bacteria
Description: partial 16S ribosomal RNA
Rfam family: Bacterial small subunit ribosomal RNA
Source: RNAcentral
UAACACGUAGGUAACCUGCCCAUGUGUCCGGGAUAACUGCUGGAAACGGUAGCUAAAACCGGAUAGGUAUACAGAGCGCAUGCUCAGUAUAUUAAAGCGCCCAUCAAGGCGUGAACAUGGAUGGACCUGCGGCGCAUUAGCUAGUUGGUGAGGUAACGGCCCACCAAGGCGAUGGUGCGUAGCCGGCCUGAGAGGGUAAACGGCCACAUUGGGACUGAGACACGGCCCAA